GCCUUGAUGGUGAAAUGGUAGACACGUAAGAUUCAAAAUCUUAUGCUCUAAGCGUGGAGGUUCGAGUCCUCUUCAAGGCA
This 80-nucleotide transfer RNA is filed under the name Encalypta ciliata. RNAcentral describes it as "tRNA-Leu". It matches the Rfam family "tRNA". From Rfam's summary of the family: Transfer RNA (tRNA) molecules are approximately 80 nucleotides in length. The record is from RNAcentral. Lineage: Eukaryota; Viridiplantae; Streptophyta; Bryopsida; Encalyptales; Encalyptaceae.